RNAcentral lists this ribosomal RNA (497 nucleotides) under uncultured bacterium. Its description in RNAcentral is "partial 16S ribosomal RNA". It matches the Rfam family "Bacterial small subunit ribosomal RNA", at positions 28 to 507 of the family's 1533-position model. The record is from RNAcentral.
GAUGAACGCUGGCGGCGUGCCUAGUACAUGCAAGUCGAGCGAACGGACGAGAAGCUUGCUUCUCUGAUGUUAGCGGCGGACGGGUGAGUAACACGUGGAUAACCUACCUAUAAGACUGGGAUAACUUCGGGAAACCGGAGCUAAUACCGGAUAAUAUUUUGAACCGCAUGGUUCAAAAGUGAAAGACGGUCUUGUUGUCACUUAUAGAUGGAUCCGCGCUGCAUUAGCUAGUUGGUAAGGUAACGGCUUACCAAGGCAACGAUGCAUAGCCGACCUGAGAGGGUGAUCGGCCACACUGGAACUGAGACACGGUCCAGACUCCUACGGGAGGCAGCAGUAGGGAAUCUUCCGCAAUGGGCGAAAGCCUGACGGAGCAACGCCGCGUGAGUGAUGAAGGUCCUCGGAUCGUAAAACUCUGUUAUUAGGGAAGAACAUAUGUGUAAGUAACUGUGCACAUCUUGACGGUACCUAAUCAGAAAGCCACGGCUAACUACGUG